This 576-nucleotide ribosomal RNA is filed under the name Saccharomyces cerevisiae (brewer's yeast). RNAcentral's name for it is "partial large subunit ribosomal RNA". It matches the Rfam family "Eukaryotic large subunit ribosomal RNA", at positions 80 to 671 of the family's 3401-position model. Lineage: Eukaryota; Fungi; Ascomycota; Saccharomycetes; Saccharomycetales; Saccharomycetaceae. The record is from RNAcentral.
UUAGAUACGGCGAGUGAGCGGCAAAAGCUCAAAUUUGAAAUCUGGUACCUUCGGUGCCCGAGUUGUAAUUUGGAGAGGGCAACUUUGGGGCCGUUCCUUGUCUAUGUUCCUUGGAACAGGACGUCAUAGAGGGUGAGAAUCCCGUGUGGCGAGGAGUGCGGUUCUUUGUAAAGUGCCUUCGAAGAGUCGAGUUGUUUGGGAAUGCAGCUCUAAGUGGGUGGUAAAUUCCAUCUAAAGCUAAAUAUUGGCGAGAGACCGAUAGCGAACAAGUACAGUGAUGGAAAGAUGAAAAGAACUUUGAAAAGAGAGUGAAAAAGUACGUGAAAUUGUUGAAAGGGAAGGGCAUUUGAUCAGACAUGGUGUUUUGUGCCCUCUGCUCCUUGUGGGUAGGGGAAUCUCGCAUUUCACUGGGCCAGCAUCAGUUUUGGUGGCAGGAUAAAUCCAUAGGAAUGUAGCUUGCCUCGGUAAGUAUUAUAGCCUGUGGGAAUACUGCCAGCUGGGACUGAGGACUGCGACGUAAGUCAAGGAUGCUGGCAUAAUGGUUAUAUGCCGCCCGUCUUGAAACACGGACCAAAA